Molecule: ribosomal RNA, 301 nt
Filed under: uncultured bacterium
Lineage: Bacteria
Description: partial 16S ribosomal RNA
Rfam family: Bacterial small subunit ribosomal RNA
Source: RNAcentral
CAGUCGCCGCGGGAAUACGUAGGGUGCGAGCGUUAAUCGGAAUUACUGGGCGUAAAGCGUGCGCAGGCGGUUGUGUAAGACAGGUGUGAAAUCCCCGGGCUUAACCUGGGAACUGCGCUUGUGACUGCACAGCUAGAGUAUGGCUUAGGGGGGUGGAAUUCCACGUGUAGCAGUGAAAUGCGUAGAGAUGUGGAGGAACACCGAUGGCGAAGGCAGCCCCCUGGGCCAAUACUGACGCUCAUGCACGAAAGCGUGGGGAGCAAACAGGAUUAGAUACCCGUGUAGUCCCUGUCUCUUAUAC